ACACGUGAUUCAGAGUUUGAUCCUGGCUCAGAUUGAACGCUGGCGGCAUGCCUUACACAUGCAAGUCGAACGGCAUCGCGGGAAAGCUUGCUUUCCUGGCGGCGAGUGGCGAACGGGUGAGUAACACAUCGGAACGUACCGGCUAGUGGGGGAUAACCCGUCGAAAGACGGGCUAAUACCGCAUACGCUCUUAGGAGGAAAGCAGGGGACCUUUGGGCCUUGCGCUAGCCGAGCGGCCGAUGUCCGAUUAGCUAGUUGGUGGGGUAAAGGCCUACCAAGGCGACGAUCGGUAGCGGGUCUGAGAGGACGAUCCGCCACACUGGGACUGAGACACGGCCCAG
This 341-nucleotide ribosomal RNA is filed under the name uncultured bacterium. Its description in RNAcentral is "bacterial SSU rRNA". It matches the Rfam family "Bacterial small subunit ribosomal RNA", at positions 1 to 334 of the family's 1533-position model. The record is from RNAcentral.